CCUACGGGUGGCAGCAGGGGGGAAUAUUGGACAAUGGGGGCAACCCUGAUCCAGCCAUGCCGCGUGUGUGAAGAAGGCCCUCGGGUUGUAAAGCACUUUCAGUGAGGAAGAACGCCUGGUGGUUAAUACCCAUCAGGAAAGACAUCACUCACAGAAGAAGCACCGGCUAACUCCGUGCCAGCAGCCGCGGUAAUACGGAGGGUGCGAGCGUUAAUCGGAAUUACUGGGCGUAAAGCGCGCGUAGGUGGCUUGAUAAGCCGGUUGUGAAAGCCCCGGGCUCAACCUGGGAACGGCAUCCGGAACUGUCAAGCUAGAGUGCAGGAGAGGAAGGUAGAAUUCCCGGUGUAGCGGUGAAAUGCGUAGAGAUCGGGAGGAAUACCAGUGGCGAAGGCGGCCUUCUGGACUGACACUGACACUGAGGUGCGAAAGCGUGGGUAGCAAACAGGAUUAGAUACCCCAGUAGUC
RNAcentral lists this ribosomal RNA (465 nucleotides) under Vreelandella stevensii. RNAcentral describes it as "partial 16S ribosomal RNA". It matches the Rfam family "Bacterial small subunit ribosomal RNA", at positions 338 to 795 of the family's 1533-position model. Lineage: Bacteria; Pseudomonadati; Pseudomonadota; Gammaproteobacteria; Oceanospirillales; Halomonadaceae. The record is from RNAcentral.